RNAcentral lists this long non-coding RNA (913 nucleotides) under Homo sapiens (human). RNAcentral's name for it is "HSALNT0380409". Lineage: Eukaryota; Metazoa; Chordata; Mammalia; Primates; Hominidae. The record is from RNAcentral.
UUGCAAAGAAAAAUGACCAAAAAUAAUAUGCUCAUUUUUCAAGCUUCAGCAGAAGAAACACUUCCUAUAAAUCUCGCCCAAACAGGAAAGGAGAAGCAUCAGGGUGUCCGACUACGUGGGUUUCAUAGCUGUGGAAAAGCCAAAGGGGAGACUCCUGAAGAAAGGCGGUGAAGACUGUGAAGAGCGGGUCAGGAAGAUGAGCACAGCACUGCUACUCCUGUGGGCACAGGGACAGCAUGUCUCCAGCCAGCGCCACCUUGUUUAAUACAUGGGAACUCACUGAAAUUCAUUCUGUAUUUUGCCCACAAAGUUUUAAAGCUUUCAUCCACAGUCAGGAAUUAAACUUAUACCAAUGAGAGCCUCACACAUUCAAGGAUGUACUAAGCACUACAGGCCUCACAGAAACAGAGAUCCCAUCUUGGAGUUUUCAGUCCCACAUGGGAGAUAAAGGGUUUUGAACAUGAAAUGACAAAAACAACAGCAAGAAGAAAAUUCUCGUCCUUUUUCAUUACUAUCAAACUCAAAUAAAUGUCUUGGCUCUUACAUUACAUUCAUUCUUCAACCAUUGUGGUCUGGCUUCCACUUCCUUCACUUCACCAACAUGGCUCUGCCAAAGGAAGCCUGUGAUCUCUAGGCCAUCACUUUAAUUGAUCUCUCUACAACAUUUAUCCUGGUCGUUAAGCCCUCCUUACAACAUUCUUCUCUCUUUGUUUUUAUGGCUCUGUCUCUCCUGCUUCUUUAACCUGAUAAUGCAUACUUGAUUUUUCCAUUUAUUAUUUCAUCAACCAAUUAAUACACAGAUAAAACAAGACUGUGUAUAUCAAACCAUGUUUGUAUAGAAAAAAUGGAUUUUGGAUGCCUCUCAUAUGUAAUUAGUUCUAUUAAACAUAUUAAUUGUAUUGUUUAAUUUAUC